RNAcentral lists this ribosomal RNA (253 nucleotides) under uncultured bacterium. Its description in RNAcentral is "partial 16S ribosomal RNA". It matches the Rfam family "Bacterial small subunit ribosomal RNA", at positions 524 to 776 of the family's 1533-position model. The record is from RNAcentral.
UACAGAGGGUGCAAGCGUUGUUCGGAAUUAUUGGGCGUAAAGGGCGCGUAGGCGGUGCGGUAAGUCUGUAGUGAAAUCUCUGGGCUCAACUCAGAGUCUGCUGCAGAAACUGCCGUGCUUGAGUGUGGGAGAGGUGAGUGGAAUUCCUGGUGUAGCGGUGAAAUGCGUAGAUAUCAGGAGGAACACCUGUGGCGAAAGCGGCUCACUGGACCACAACUGACGCUGAGGCGCGAAAGCUAGGGGAGCAAACAGG